UGUGGGGUCGGGCUCCAAAUUGCCAUAACUUCUUGAUGGUUUGUUCCCUUUAUCAAUAUGUAGUGAAUUUCUUUGUCUCUUUUGACUAAUUUUGGCUAGAAGCCCAAUUAUGAAAGGUCUGAGCAUUGCUACUCCUGCUGGCUUUCAGAUGCCUCUUGCUUGAGACGUCUUUCUCUUUCCCUUCACUUGUACUUGGUUCAUAUCGUCGCAGUGAGCUGAUUCUUGCAGAUUGUUGGGUCUGUUUUACAAUCCAGUCAGCCAGUCUGCUUCAUUUAAUUGGAGAAUUGAAAUCAUUUGCCUUUGGUCAUUGUUGAAAAGUAUGCACUAAGUCCUGUCAUUCUAUGGAUUCUCUUCUAAUUGUUUCAUAUAAUCUACAUGAGAUUCAUUUCUUGCUCCCUUAUUCAUCUUAGGGAUUUUAUGACUUACUAAAUCAAUAGUGUUUGAGUCUUUCCUCGUUCUCGUUUGUUCAUCAACUCUUCUAGGGAGAUUCAUUCCCUCCCAUGUUCUCUAGUUGUAGUUAUCUUGCUUCCUCUUCUGUGUGUCAGAUUCUUUGAGUAUCUUCUGGAAUGCUAGUUUAGUGGUCAGGAAUCCCUUUGCUUUAUGCUUAUUUUUAUUUCUUUAACUCUGAAGAAUAACUUUGUUGGAUAUAGUAGUUAUUUUCUUUCAGAGCUUAAAAUGCAUCAUUCCUUGUCCUGCCACCUUCAGUUUCUGCUAAGAAAUAUGUGAUUUUGAUGGGUUUACUGUUGUAAGUGACGUGCGGCUUCCCUCCUGCAGUUCUCAGUAUCUUUUCUUUUUUCUGUACCUUUGGCAGGUAACUGUAAUAUGUCACAGAGACAUGUUUUUCUGGUCAAGUCUCUGUGGGGUCCCAGGUUUUUCCUGUACGUGGACAUCCAUGUUUUCUUGAGAUUUGUGGAACUUUCUGAUAUUAUUUCAUUGAAUAGGUUUUCUAUGCCCUUAGCCUGUUCUUCUGCUCCUUUAUCUAUAUCAAAUAUUUAAAAGUUUGGCCUUAAUUGUGCCCCAUUGAUCUCAUCUGUUUUUCAUUCAUUAUUAUUUUUUCUUUAUUACUGCCUGAGUGUGGCAUUUCCCCAACCUUGUUAUUCAGCCCUAAUAUUCUCUCUUCUGCUUGAUCUGGUCUAUUGGUGAGGAUUCUCAUAGAAUUUUUAAAAUCUGACUUAUUGAGUUUUUAAUUUCCAAGGUUUGUUGGGUUCUUUUUCAGAAUCUCUACCUCUUUAUUGAAUUUCUCUUUCAUAUUCUACAUUGUCUUCCUUAAUUCAUUCGGCUGCUUAUUUGAAUUUUCUUUGAGUUCAUUAAUUUUUUAACCUUAUUAUUUUGAAUUCUUUGUCCGUAGUUCAUCCAUUUCAAUAUCUUUGGAGUCAGUUACUAGAGAGCUGUCAACCUUUGGAAGAGUCGAGUUGCUUUGCUUUUUUCACAUUGUAUUUACAUGUUUAGAUUUUGCAUCUGUUGGGAUAAGCGUGUCUUCCGUUUUAUGUGGGGCCAUUCUUAAGGAAUAGCCUUCUCUCCGUGAUGUGCCCUGGGCUAUCUGUUUGCUGUGUAGUGAUGAAUUUAAUUCCAGGUGGACUCAAUACUGCAGUUUCCCUGUGGCUCCUCUGCCCGUGAUGGUGACUUUGACAGUGUGUGUGGUGUCAGAGCUGAGGGACCUGCUCUGUCUGAAGCCUCCCGG
RNAcentral lists this long non-coding RNA (1681 nucleotides) under Marmota monax (woodchuck). The record is from RNAcentral. Lineage: Eukaryota; Metazoa; Chordata; Mammalia; Rodentia; Sciuridae.